This 236-nucleotide unclassified non-coding RNA is filed under the name Hevea brasiliensis (rubber tree). Lineage: Eukaryota; Viridiplantae; Streptophyta; Magnoliopsida; Malpighiales; Euphorbiaceae. The record is from RNAcentral.
GUUUCCAUAAACGUUUACGUCUAUGCAAGAUUUUAAUCUGAACUGAUAAACAUAUAAAGAUAAGCUUCUCAAGGUUUGGCUAAUGCCAACCAGGAGCUAUUUUGAGACAUUAGUAUCACUAUUGACUAUACAGUCUGCCAGAGUCUACGGGAUGUGAGUUUCAGAGAUGAGAAUAUGCGGAUGUUCCUGCUAUGCUACUGAAUGCUAGUCUCCUCCAUACUGCCAUCAGUUGCUGG